GCUCUUGUAGCUCAAUAGGUAGAGCACGGUGCUAAUAACGCCGGGGUAGUGGGUUCGAAACCCACCAAGAGCU
RNAcentral lists this transfer RNA (73 nucleotides) under Pseudomonadota bacterium. RNAcentral's name for it is "Proteobacteria bacterium (activated sludge metagenome) tRNA-Ile". It matches the Rfam family "tRNA". Rfam says of the family: Transfer RNA (tRNA) molecules are approximately 80 nucleotides in length. Lineage: Bacteria; Pseudomonadati; Pseudomonadota. The record is from RNAcentral.